Molecule: ribosomal RNA, 1415 nt
Filed under: Mycobacteroides chelonae
Lineage: Bacteria; Bacillati; Actinomycetota; Actinomycetes; Mycobacteriales; Mycobacteriaceae
Description: bacterial SSU rRNA
Rfam family: Bacterial small subunit ribosomal RNA
Source: RNAcentral
CGUGCUUAACACAUGCAAGUCGAACGGAAAGGCCCUUCGGGGUACUCGAGUGGCGAACGGGUGAGUAACACGUGGGUGAUCUGCCCUGCACUCUGGGAUAAGCCUGGGAAACUGGGUCUAAUACCGGAUAGGACCACACACUUCAUGGUGAGUGGUGCAAAGCUUUUGCGGUGUGGGAUGAGCCCGCGGCCUAUCAGCUUGUUGGUGGGGUAAUGGCCCACCAAGGCGACGACGGGUAGCCGGCCUGAGAGGGUGACCGGCCACACUGGGACUGAGAUACGGCCCAGACUCCUACGGGAGGCAGCAGUGGGGAAUAUUGCACAAUGGGCGCAAGCCUGAUGCAGCGACGCCGCGUGAGGGAUGACGGCCUUCGGGUUGUAAACCUCUUUCAGUAGGGACGAAGCGAAAGUGACGGUACCUACAGAAGAAGGACCGGCCAACUACGUGCCAGCAGCCGCGGUAAUACGUAGGGUCCGAGCGUUGUCCGGAAUUACUGGGCGUAAAGAGCUCGUAGGUGGUUUGUCGCGUUGUUCGUGAAAACUCACAGCUUAACUGUGGGCGUGCGGGCGAUACGGGCAGACUAGAGUACUGCAGGGGAGACUGGAAUUCCUGGUGUAGCGGUGGAAUGCGCAGAUAUCAGGAGGAACACCGGUGGCGAAGGCGGGUCUCUGGGCAGUAACUGACGCUGAGGAGCGAAAGCGUGGGUAGCGAACAGGAUUAGAUACCCUGGUAGUCCACGCCGUAAACGGUGGGUACUAGGUGUGGGUUUCCUUCCUUGGGAUCCGUGCCGUAGCUAACGCAUUAAGUACCCCGCCUGGGGAGUACGGUCGCAAGACUAAAACUCAAAGGAAUUGACGGGGGCCCGCACAAGCGGCGGAGCAUGUGGAUUAAUUCGAUGCAACGCGAAGAACCUUACCUGGGUUUGACAUGCACAGGACGUACCUAGAGAUAGGUAUUCCCUUGUGGCCUGUGUGCAGGUGGUGCAUGGCUGUCGUCAGCUCGUGUCGUGAGAUGUUGGGUUAAGUCCCGCAACGAGCGCAACCCUUGUCCUAUGUUGCCAGCGGGUAAUGCCGGGGACUCGUAGGAGACUGCCGGGGUCAACUCGGAGGAAGGUGGGGAUGACGUCAAGUCAUCAUGCCCCUUAUGUCCAGGGCUUCACACAUGCUACAAUGGCCAGUACAGAGGGCUGCGAAGCCGCAAGGUGGAGCGAAUCCCUUAAAGCUGGUCUCAGUUCGGAUUGGGGUCUGCAACUCGACCCCAUGAAGUCGGAGUCGCUAGUAAUCGCAGAUCAGCAACGCUGCGGUGAAUACGUUCCCGGGCCUUGUACACACCGCCCGUCACGUCAUGAAAGUCGGUAACACCCGAAGCCAGUGGCCUAACCUUUUGGAGGGAGCUGUCGAAGGUGGGAUCGGCGA